AGAGUUUGAUCCUGGCUCAGGACGAACGCUGGCGGUGUGCUUCACACAUGCAAGUCGAACGGAGUAGCAAUACUCAGUGGCGGACGGGUGAGUAACACGUGGGAAUCUACCAUUAGGUGGGGAAUAACAGGCCGAAAGGACUGCUAAUGCCGCAUAUGUAGGCAUCUCGACAGAGAUGUUUAUGAAAGGAGUAAUCCGCCUUUUGAUGAGCCCGCGUCCGAUUAGCUAGUUGGUAGGGUAAAAGCCUACCAAGGCGACGAUCGGUAGGUGGUCUGAGAGGAUGAUCACCCACAAUGGGACUGAGACACGGCCCAUACUCCUACGGGAGGCAGCAGUGGGGAAUUUUACGCAAUGGGGGAAACCCUGACGUAGCGACACCGCGUGAGCGAAGAAGCCCUUUGGGGUGUAAAGCUCUGUCAACAGGAACGAAACAAAUGACGGUACCUGUGGAGGAAGCAUCGGCUAACUACGUGCCAGCAGCCGCGGUAAGACGUAGGAUGCAAGCGUUGGCCGGAUUUAUUGGGCGUAAAGAGUUCGUAGGCGGUUUGUUAAGUCUGAUGUUAAAGACCGGGGCUCAACCUCGGAAAUGCAUUGGAUACUGGCAGACUGGAGUGCAGUAGAGGCUAGUGGAAUUCCCAGUGUAGCGGUGAAAUGCGUAGA
This 660-nucleotide ribosomal RNA is filed under the name uncultured bacterium. RNAcentral's name for it is "bacterial SSU rRNA". It matches the Rfam family "Bacterial small subunit ribosomal RNA", at positions 8 to 694 of the family's 1533-position model. The record is from RNAcentral.